Molecule: ribosomal RNA, 567 nt
Filed under: fungal sp. ARIZ B215
Lineage: Eukaryota; Fungi
Description: eukaryotic LSU rRNA
Rfam family: 5.8S ribosomal RNA (bases 193-346)
Source: RNAcentral
UGGAAGUAAAAGUCGUAACAAGGUUUCCGUAGGUGAACCUGCGGAAGGAUCAUUACCGAGUUUUCGGGCUUCGGCUCGACUCUCCCACCCUUUGUGAACGUACCUCUGUUGCUUUGGCGGCUCCGGCCGCCAAAGGACCUUCAAACUCCAGUCAGUAAACGCAGACGUCUGAUAAACAAGUUAAUAAACUAAAACUUUCAACAACGGAUCUCUUGGUUCUGGCAUCGAUGAAGAACGCAGCGAAAUGCGAUAAGUAAUGUGAAUUGCAGAAUUCAGUGAAUCAUCGAAUCUUUGAACGCACAUUGCGCCCCUUGGUAUUCCGGGGGGCAUGCCUGUUCGAGCGUCAUUACAACCCUCAAGCUCUGCUUGGAAUUGGGCACCGUCCUCACUGCGGACGCGCCUCAAAGACCUCGGCGGUGGCUGUUCAGCCCUCAAGCGUAGUAGAAUACACCUCGCUUUGGAGCGGUUGGCGUCGCCCGCCGGACGAACCUUCUGAACUUUUCUCAAGGUUGACCUCGGAUCAGGUAGGGAUACCCGCUGAACUUAAGCAUAUCAAUAAGCGGAGGA